AACCUCCGCAAUGUGAGAAAUCGCGACGGGGGGAUCCCAAGUGCCAUUCUUAACGGGAUGGCUUUUCAUUAGUGUAAAGAGCUUUUGGAAUAAGGGCUGGGCAAGACCGGUGCCAGCCGCCGCGGUAACGCCGGCAGCUCUAGUGGUAGCAGUUUUUAUUGGGCCUAAAGCGUCCGUAGCCGGUUUAAUAAGUCUCUGGUGAAAUCCUGUAGCUUAACUGUGGGAAUUGCUGGAGAUACUAUUAGACUUGAGACCGGGAGAGGUUAGAGGUACUCCCAGGGUAGAGGUGAAAUUCUGUAAUCCUGGGAGGACCGCCUGUUGCGAAGGCGUCUAACUGGAACGGUUCUGACGGUGAGGGACGAAAGUUAGGGGCGCGAACCGGAUUAGGAUACCCGGGUAGUCCUAACCGUAAACGAUGCGGACUUGGUGUUGGGGUGGCUUUGAGCUGCUCCAGUGCCGAAGGGAAGCUGUUAAGUCCGCCGCCUGGGAAGUACGGUCGCAAGACUGAAACUUAAAGGAAUU
Molecule: ribosomal RNA, 522 nt
Filed under: uncultured bacterium
Lineage: Bacteria
Description: bacterial SSU rRNA
Rfam family: Archaeal small subunit ribosomal RNA
Source: RNAcentral